AUUGGGAUUCAGUUGGAGUUGG
Molecule: microRNA, 22 nt
Filed under: Glycine max (soybean)
Lineage: Eukaryota; Viridiplantae; Streptophyta; Magnoliopsida; Fabales; Fabaceae
Description: gma-miR4351
Source: miRBase by way of RNAcentral